This 70-nucleotide transfer RNA is filed under the name Schistocerca piceifrons peruviana. RNAcentral describes it as "tRNA-Val". It matches the Rfam family "tRNA". Rfam says of the family: Transfer RNA (tRNA) molecules are approximately 80 nucleotides in length. Their secondary structure includes four short double-helical elements and three loops (D, anti-codon, and T loops). Lineage: Eukaryota; Metazoa; Arthropoda; Insecta; Orthoptera; Acrididae. The record is from RNAcentral.
AGACAUAACCUAUGAGUAAAGUGUUUCAUUUACACUGAAAAUUUUUCUGUGCAAAUCAGGAUAUCUUGAU